UGGGGAAUAUUGCACAAUGGGGGAAACCCUGAUGCAGCGACGCCGCGUGAACGAAGAAGGUAUUCGUAUCGUAAAGUUCUGUCCUAUGGGAAGAUAAUGACAGUACCAUAGAAGAAAGCUCCGGCUAAAUACGUGCCAGCAGCCGCGGUAAUACGUAUGGAGCGAGCGUUGUCCGGAAUUAUUGGGCGUAAAGGGUACGCAGGCGGUUUAAUAAGUCGAAUGUUAAAGAUCGGGGCUCAACCCCGCAAAGCAUUGGAAACUGAUAAACUUGAGUAGUGGAGAGGAAAGUGGAAUUCCUAGUGUAGUGGUGAAAUACGUAGAUAUUAGGAGGAAUACCAGUAGCGAAGGCGACUUUCUGGACACAAACUGACGCUGAGGUACGAAAGCGUGGGGAGGAAACAGG
RNAcentral lists this ribosomal RNA (403 nucleotides) under bacterium. RNAcentral describes it as "partial 16S ribosomal RNA". It matches the Rfam family "Bacterial small subunit ribosomal RNA", at positions 355 to 776 of the family's 1533-position model. The record is from RNAcentral.